Molecule: long non-coding RNA, 1762 nt
Organism: Globicephala melas (long-finned pilot whale)
Lineage: Eukaryota; Metazoa; Chordata; Mammalia; Artiodactyla; Delphinidae
Source: RefSeq, a predicted model, not a curated record
UUUUCUUCAAGUUCAUUGAUUUUUCUCCCUAUCUUGUUGAGUCUACUGAUGAAUCAGUAAAAGGUCCACCUGUCAAAGAGCAGAGUCUGUCCCGCUUCCAUCCAAUAGCCAGCAAGGCAAAGGGGCCCUCAAGCCAAGAAACCAGAGGAACUGAAUCCUAUCAACCACCACACGACAGGAACUUCAUGCAGAGUACAGCGAAGGAUUGGAGGGAUAUUCAUGAACGAGAAAUCAAUGGAGGACAAGAUGACUCACAUUUUUCCCCAAAGUAUAAUGCAGGUGAUUUCACACCCAGGAGUAAUACAUCAGAAUAAAAUUCCAGACAGCAAGAGGAUGUAUUUCUUUUUUUGGGUAGGAGAUUUCGGGGAAGAGGAUGUGGAAAAGGUGAACCUAGAGACACAUAUAGGUUAGUUCUCAGGCAGAUCAAUUUUAGUAAAGAUACCAUAGGGAAAUUACAGAUGUGGAAAUUUAUUUUUAUAACACUAUCCAUGUUCCCUCCAUUAACCUUGGAAAUGCUUCGUGUAGUGCAUUCUAAGAACUGUGGUAUCAGAAGUUUCAUCUAGGCUAAUUAGCGUAUUAUUACACUGAUCUGAAACAUGAAUAAGUAUUAGCUAAUUUAUUGUUACAAUCCAUACAACUACUGGAGUGAGGAGGGGUUUUGAAGUGUAUUAAAAAUCCUCAUUCAUUAUCAAAUGUUACACAUUUACCUCUAUCAGUAGAUUUCUGAGUUUCUCUUAUAGAAUGUUUGAUAAUUGUUUAAUUGAGGUGAAGUAUAUAACUAAAUACAUUUUGUGUACCAAUUACAUAUAAUUUUCCCAUUUAAUAAAUAAUUUUGACUAUUUAUUAUAUUUCAGUAUUUAUAUUGGCUUCUACAGAUAAAGUGAUGGCCAAUCACUAACUCCAUCCUCAAGUAGUCCAUAGUGUAUCAGCAGAAGCAAGCUAAGUAGACACAAUCAAUGCAGAGAGUGGGGCAUUAUGAUAGAAUUAGCAGAAAAGCCACUGGAAGGAUAUGUAUGCCAAUUUUGGACUGGAAGAAAGCUUCCUGAAGGAAACAGAUACAGUGCAAUCUCUGGACUGUGAGACAAAUUCAUGGAAACAACAGAAAUAUGUAGGAGCAUGCUUUGAUAUAAAGAUCACCUAUCAUCACUUCAAUAAAUUUUCUACAGUUGUGUACAAAGUGUUGAUCUGAAUUAUGUCAACAUAGUUCUUUCAAUAGGUAACAGCAAUUUCCUAAAUAUUUGACUAUUCUUAUUAUCUGGUACUCUGCUUAUUGUGUAUCUCUAUGUAUUGGAAAUUUUAUAAAUAUAAACAAUGCAAAUGAGACAGAUAAUAUAAUAAAGAUGAGAUAAUAUUCUCAGAAAGAAAGAUUAUAAUUAUUACAACAUAAGUGACUAUGAAUGGUGGUUAACUCUAAUGCAGAUAAUCGUGCAUCUUAUGUAUGUGCAUGCCUACAUGGAUAUAUGUAUAUAUGUGUGGGUGUGGACAUGGGUCAGUGUGGAGCGAUGUGAAAAAUUCCAUCUAUCCAAAUUAGCUGUUCAUUUAGGAAAAGUUACAAAAAUCAAGUAAUUUGGAAUUUAAAAAUUAUUCAGGGUAUGCAUGUUGUACUAGAUUGUGAAACUAAAUCCUAAAUAAAAUGUGUUUGCUUCAAAGUUCUUUGUUGACUUUGCAGACAGAACAGAGAGCUUGACAGUAAGAAAUGACUCCAUAGUUUCAUAGUUGUUCAGGUAAAUCAGUGUAACAGUCUGUGUUGCAGUGGUCCCAA